CAGGCCUCCCUCUGCUUGGUUCCAGUCGUGGGCAUGAGUGAAGGGCGAUGCUUGAUGGCUUUGAUGCCAUCGGUGGGAAUGUGUUUAAGCAUCGGCCUUCCCUCAUGUCCACGAUGGUCUACAGUCUUGGGUAUGAGUCAGUGACGAUGCUUGUUUGUUUUGAUGCUUGCGUUUGAACUUGCUUGUUUAGAUGCUUGCGUUGGAACUUGCUUGUUUAGAUGCUUGUGUUGGAACUUGCUUAAGCAACCGACCUGACGAAGUACCCAUGAAUGUCGCCCACGAUGGUCUACAGUCUUGGGUAUGAGUCAGUGACGAUGCUUGUUUGUUUUGAUGCUUGCGUUUGAACUUGCUUAAGCAACCGACCCGACGAAGUACCCAUGAAUGUCGCCCACGAUGGUCUACAGUCUUGGGUAUGAGUCAGUGACGAUGCUUGUUUGUUUUGAUGCUUGCGUUUGAACUUGCUUAAGCAACCGACCCGACGAAGUACCCAUGAAUGUCGCCCACGAUGGUCUACAGUCUUGGGUAUGAGUCAGUGACGAUGCUUGUUUGUUUUGAUGCUUGCGUUUGAACUUGCUUGAGCAACUGAUCCGACGAAGUACCCAUGAAUGUUCAACCUAGUAGGGACAUGUCCCUGCGCCCAACGACAUUUUUUGUCGGGAUCGUGGCAAGUCUGCGAUCCAGGGGGUGAUGUUGAGAGCCUGAAGGCAAGGGGGUGCAAACACCAGUCGGCCUUUGUCCCGAUUGCUGAGUGUUAUGUGCUUGAUGUCCAAGGCUUGAUGCUGAUCCUCCAAGUGGGGCUUGUCCCUGCACUAAUGGCUUUUGCCAGGAUCAUGGCGUUUGCUAUGAUCGAAAAAAUGAGGGGGUGAUGUUGAGAGCCGGAAGGCAAGGGGGUGCAAACACCAGUCGGCCUUUGUCCCGAUUGCUGAGUGUUAUGUGCUUGACGUCUAAGGCUUGAUGUUGACCCUCCAAGUGGGGCUUUUUUGUUCCUGCGGUAACGACUUUGUUGGGAUCAUUGUGAUCAAGGUUGGUUGGUUUCGUAUUGUGGUGGGUUUUUUCGAAGCUUCUAUCGUUGUUUUACGCAUCGUGCGGUGCAUCUUGGGGGUUGUUCUGGCUUUUGGUUGCUUGCUUGGGCUUUAUGCUAGGCGGGUGGCUAAU
This 1155-nucleotide unclassified non-coding RNA is filed under the name Espeletia weddellii. Its description in RNAcentral is "partial external transcribed spacer". The record is from RNAcentral. Lineage: Eukaryota; Viridiplantae; Streptophyta; Magnoliopsida; Asterales; Asteraceae.